Molecule: ribosomal RNA, 2900 nt
Filed under: Klebsiella pneumoniae
Lineage: Bacteria; Pseudomonadati; Pseudomonadota; Gammaproteobacteria; Enterobacterales; Enterobacteriaceae
Description: bacterial LSU rRNA
Rfam family: Bacterial large subunit ribosomal RNA
Source: RNAcentral
UUAAGCGACUAAGCGUACACGGUGGAUGCCCUGGCAGUCAGAGGCGAUGAAGGACGUGCUAAUCUGCGAAAAGCGUCGGUAAGGUGAUAUGAACCGUUAUAACCGGCGAUGUCCGAAUGGGGAAACCCAGUGCAAUUCGUUGCACUAUCGUUAACUGAAUACAUAGGUUAACGAGGCGAACCGGGGGAACUGAAACAUCUAAGUACCCCGAGGAAAAGAAAUCAACCGAGAUUCCCCCAGUAGCGGCGAGCGAACGGGGAGCAGCCCAGAGUCUGAAUCAGCUUGUGUGUUAGUGGAACGGUCUGGAAAGUCCGACGGUACAGGGUGAUAGUCCCGUACACCAAAAUGCACAGGUUGUGAACUCGAAGAGUAGGGCGGGACACGUGGUAUCCUGUCUGAAUAUGGGGGGACCAUCCUCCAAGGCUAAAUACUCCUGACUGACCGAUAGUGAACCAGUACCGUGAGGGAAAGGCGAAAAGAACCCCGGCGAGGGGAGUGAAAAAGAACCUGAAACCGUGUACGUACAAGCAGUGGGAGCACCUUCGGGUGUGACUGCGUACCUUUUGUAUAAUGGGUCAGCGACUUAUAUUCUGUAGCAAGGUUAACCGUAUAGGGGAGCCGCAGGGAAACCGAGUCUUAACUGGGCGUUAAGUUGCAGGGUAUAGACCCGAAACCCGGUGAUCUAGCCAUGGGCAGGUUGAAGGUUGGGUAACACUAACUGGAGGACCGAACCGACUAAUGUUGAAAAAUUAGCGGAUGACUUGUGGCUGGGGGUGAAAGGCCAAUCAAACCGGGAGAUAGCUGGUUCUCCCCGAAAGCUAUUUAGGUAGCGCCUCGUGAACUCAUCUUCGGGGGUAGAGCACUGUUUCGGCUAGGGGGUCAUCCCGACUUACCAACCCGAUGCAAACUACGAAUACCGAAGAAUGUUAUCACGGGAGACACACGGCGGGUGCUAACGUCCGUCGUGAAGAGGGAAACAACCCAGACCGCCAGCUAAGGUCCCAAAGUCAUGGUUAAGUGGGAAACGAUGUGGGAAGGCACAGACAGCCAGGAUGUUGGCUUAGAAGCAGCCAUCAUUUAAAGAAAGCGUAAUAGCUCACUGGUCGAGUCGGCCUGCGCGGAAGAUGUAACGGGGCUAAACCAUGCACCGAAGCUGCGGCAGCGACACUAUGUGUUGUUGGGUAGGGGAGCGUUCUGUAAGCCUGCGAAGGUGUGCUGUGAGGCAUGCUGGAGGUAUCAGAAGUGCGAAUGCUGACAUAAGUAACGAUAAAGCGGGUGAAAAGCCCGCUCGCCGGAAGACCAAGGGUUCCUGUCCAACGUUAAUCGGGGCAGGGUGAGUCGACCCCUAAGGCGAGGCCGAAAGGCGUAGUCGAUGGGAAACAGGUUAAUAUUCCUGUACUUGGUGUUACUGCGAAGGGGGGACGGAGAAGGCUAUGUUAGCCGGGCGACGGUUGUCCCGGUUUAAGCAUGUAGGCUGAUUAUCCAGGCAAAUCCGGAUAAUCAAGGCUGAGGUGUGAUGACGAGGCACUACGGUGCUGAAGUAACAAAUGCCCUGCUUCCAGGAAAAGCCUCUAAGCAUCAGGUAACAUCAAAUCGUACCCCAAACCGACACAGGUGGUCAGGUAGAGAAUACCAAGGCGCUUGAGAGAACUCGGGUGAAGGAACUAGGCAAAAUGGUGCCGUAACUUCGGGAGAAGGCACGCUGGUGUGUAGGUGAAGUCCCUGCGGAUGGAGCUGAGACCAGUCGAAGAUACCAGCUGGCUGCAACUGUUUAUUAAAAACACAGCACUGUGCAAACACGAAAGUGGACGUAUACGGUGUGACGCCUGCCCGGUGCCGGAAGGUUAAUUGAUGGGGUUAUCCGUAAGGAGAAGCUCUUGAUCGAAGCCCCGGUAAACGGCGGCCGUAACUAUAACGGUCCUAAGGUAGCGAAAUUCCUUGUCGGGUAAGUUCCGACCUGCACGAAUGGCGUAAUGAUGGCCAGGCUGUCUCCACCCGAGACUCAGUGAAAUUGAACUCGCUGUGAAGAUGCAGUGUACCCGCGGCAAGACGGAAAGACCCCGUGAACCUUUACUAUAGCUUGACACUGAACAUUGAGCCUUGAUGUGUAGGAUAGGUGGGAGGCUUUGAAGCGUGGACGCCAGUCUGCGUGGAGCCAACCUUGAAAUACCACCCUUUAAUGUUUGAUGUUCUAACGUUGGCCCCUUACCGGGGUUGCGGACAGUGUCUGGUGGGUAGUUUGACUGGGGCGGUCUCCUCCCAAAGCGUAACGGAGGAGCACGAAGGUUAGCUAAUCCUGGUCGGACAUCAGGAGGUUAGUGCAAUGGCAUAAGCUAGCUUGACUGCGAGCGUGACGGCGCGAGCAGGUGCGAAAGCAGGUCAUAGUGAUCCGGUGGUUCUGAAUGGAAGGGCCAUCGCUCAACGGAUAAAAGGUACUCCGGGGAUAACAGGCUGAUACCGCCCAAGAGUUCAUAUCGACGGCGGUGUUUGGCACCUCGAUGUCGGCUCAUCACAUCCUGGGGCUGAAGUAGGUCCCAAGGGUAUGGCUGUUCGCCAUUUAAAGUGGUACGCGAGCUGGGUUUAGAACGUCGUGAGACAGUUCGGUCCCUAUCUGCCGUGGGCGCUGGAGAAUUGAGGGGGGCUGCUCCUAGUACGAGAGGACCGGAGUGGACGCAUCACUGGUGUUCGGGUUGUCAUGCCAAUGGCACUGCCCGGUAGCUAAAUGCGGAAGAGAUAAGUGCUGAAAGCAUCUAAGCACGAAACUUGCCCCGAGAUGAGUUCUCCCUGAGACUUUAAGUCUCCUGAAGGAACGUUAAAGACGAUGACGUUGAUAGGCCGGGUGUGUAAGCGCAGCGAUGCGUUGAGCUAACCGGUACUAAUGAACCGUGAGGCUUAACCUU